RNAcentral lists this ribosomal RNA (427 nucleotides) under uncultured beta proteobacterium. Its description in RNAcentral is "bacterial SSU rRNA". It matches the Rfam family "Bacterial small subunit ribosomal RNA", at positions 355 to 774 of the family's 1533-position model. The record is from RNAcentral. Lineage: Bacteria; Pseudomonadati; Pseudomonadota; Betaproteobacteria.
UGGGGAAUUUUGGACAAUGGGCGAAAGCCUGAUCCAGCCAUGCCGCGUGAGUGAAGAAGGCCUUCGGGUUGUAAAGCUCUUUUAGUCGGAAAGAAAAGAUCAUAAUGAACAAUUAUGAUUCAUGACGGUACCGACAGAAAAAGCACCGGCUAACUACGUGCCAGCAGCCGCGGUAAUACGUAGGGUGCGAGCGUUAAUCGGAAUUACUGGGCGUAAAGGGUGCGCAGGCGGUUUUGUAAGUCAGAUGUGAAAUCCCCGGGCUUAACCUGGGAAUUGCGUUUGAAACUGCAAGACUAGAGUGCAGCAGAGGGGAGUGGAAUUCCAUGUGUAGUAGUGAAAUGCGUAGAGAUGUGGAAGAACACCGAUGGCGAAGGCAGCUCCCUGGGUUGACACUGACGCUCAUGCACGAAAGCGUGGGGAGCAAACA